UACGUAGGGUGCAAGCGUUGUCCGGAAUUAUUGGGCGUAAAGAGCUCGUAGGCGGUCUGUCGCGUCUGCUGUGAAAACUCGGGGCUUAACCCCGGGCCUGCAGUGGGUACGGGCAGACUAGAGUGCGGUAGGGGAGACUGGAAUUCCUGGUGUAGCGGUGAAAUGCGUAGAUAUCGGGAGGAACACCUGAGGCGAAGGCGGGCUACUGGGCCGAUACUGACGCUGAGAAGCGAAAGCAUGGGGAGCGAACAGG
Molecule: ribosomal RNA, 253 nt
Filed under: uncultured bacterium
Lineage: Bacteria
Description: partial 16S ribosomal RNA
Rfam family: Bacterial small subunit ribosomal RNA
Source: RNAcentral